AUUGAACGCUGGCGGAAUGCUUUACACAUGCAAGUCGAGCGGCAGCGCGGGGGCAACCCUGGCGGCGAGCGGCGAACGGGUGAGUAACAUAUCGGAACGUACCCAGUCGUGGGGGAGUAACUAUCCGAAAGGAUAGCUAAUACCGCAUACGUCCUGAGGGAGAAAGCGGGGGAUCGCAAGACCUCGCGCGAUUGGAGCGGCCGAUAUCGGAUUAGCUAGUUGGUGGGGUAAAGGCUCACCAAGGCGACGAUCCGUAGCGGGUCUGAGAGGACGACCCGCCACACUGGAACUGAGACACGGUCCAGACUCCUACGGGAGGCAGCAGU
This 326-nucleotide ribosomal RNA is filed under the name uncultured bacterium. RNAcentral describes it as "bacterial SSU rRNA". It matches the Rfam family "Bacterial small subunit ribosomal RNA", at positions 29 to 355 of the family's 1533-position model. The record is from RNAcentral.